RNAcentral lists this ribosomal RNA (434 nucleotides) under uncultured bacterium. RNAcentral's name for it is "partial 16S ribosomal RNA". It matches the Rfam family "Bacterial small subunit ribosomal RNA", at positions 29 to 507 of the family's 1533-position model. The record is from RNAcentral.
AGCGAACGCUGGCGGCAGGCCUAACACAUGCAAGUCGAACGAACCUUUCGGGGUUAGUGGCGGCUGGGUGAGUAACACGUGGGAACGUUCCUUUAGGUUCGGAAUAACUCAGGGAAACUUGUGCUAAUACCGAAUGUGCCCUUCUGGGGAAAGAUUAAUCGCCUUUAGUGCGGCCCGCGUCUGAUUAGCUAGUUGGUUGAGGUAUUGGCUCACCAAGGCGACGAUCAGUAGCUGGUCUGAGAGGAUGAUCCGACACAUUGGGACUGAGACACGGCCGAAACUCCUACGGGAGGCAGCAGUGGGAAAUCUAGCGAAAUGGGCGAAAGCCUGACGCAGCCAGGACGCGUGAAUGAUGAAGGUAUUAGGAUUGUAAAAUUCUUUCAACGGGGACGAUAAUGACGGUACCCGGAGAAGAAGCCCCGGCUAACUUCGUG